Molecule: ribosomal RNA, 492 nt
Filed under: uncultured bacterium
Lineage: Bacteria
Description: partial 16S ribosomal RNA
Rfam family: Bacterial small subunit ribosomal RNA
Source: RNAcentral
AGUGAACGCUGGCGGUAGGCCUAACACAUGCAAGUCGAACGGCAGCACAGUAAGAGCUUGCUCUUACGGGUGGCGAGUGGCGGACGGGUGAGGAAUACAUCGGAAUCUACUUUUUCGUGGGGGAUAACGUAGGGAAACUUACGCUAAUACCGCAUACGACCUACGGGUGAAAGCAGGGGAUCUUCGGACCUUGCGCGAUUGAAUGAGCCGAUGUCGGAUUAGCUAGUUGGCGGGGUAAAGGCCCACCAAGGCGACGAUCCGUAGCUGGUCUGAGAGGAUGAUCAGCCACACUGGAACUGAGACACGGUCCAGACUCCUACGGGAGGCAGCAGUGGGGAAUAUUGGACAAAGGGCGCAAGCCUGAUCCAGCCAUACCGCGUGGGUGAAGAAGGCCUUCGGGUCGUAAAGCCCUUUUGUUGGGAAAGAAAAGCAGCAGGUUAAUACCCCGCUGUUCUGACGGUACCCAAAGAAUAAGCACCGGCUAACUUCGUG